UCAGAGACAGAGAUACAGAUACAGACAGAGACAGACAGAUACAAAAAGACAGACAGAGACACAAAAAGACAAACAGAGACAGAGAUACAGAUACAGACAGACACACAGAGACAGAGAUACAGAAACAGACACAGAAAGACACACAGAGACACAAAAAGACACAAAGAGACAGAGACAGAGGUGUAGAUACAGACAGAGAGAAAGACAAAGACACAAGAAGACAGAGACAGAGAUACAGAUACAGACAGAGACAGACAGAGAUACAAAAAGACAAACAGAGACAGAGAUACAGAAACAGACAAACACAAAAGACACAGAGAGACACAAAAAGGCACAAACAGACAGAGACAGAGAUAUUGAUACAGACAGAGAGACAGAGACACAAAAGACACAGAGAGACACACAGAGACAGAGAUACAGAUACAGACAGAGACACAGAGACAGAGACACAAAAGACACAAAGAGACAGACAGAGACAGAGAUAUGGAUACAGACAGACAGAGACACAAAAAGACACACAGAUAAAGAGAUACAGAUACAGACAGAGAAAGAGAUACAAAAAGACAGACAGAGACAGAGAUACAAAAAGACAGAGACAGAGAUACAGAUGCAGAGACACAAAGAGACACACAGAGACAGAGAUACAGAUACAGACAGACACAAAAGACACAGAGAGACAGAGACAGAGAUAUAGAUACAGAUAGAGACAGACAGAGACACAAAAGACACAAAGACAGAGAUACACAUACAUACAGAGAAAGACAGAAACACAAAAAGACACACAGAGACACAAAAAGACACAAAGACACAUACAGAGACACAAAAAGACACACAGAGACACACAGAGAUAGAGAUACAGAUACAGACAGACACAGAGAGACACAGAAAGAACACAGAGACAGAAAAAGACACAAAGAGACAGACAGAGACAGAGAUAUAGAUACAGACAGACACAGAGAGACACAGAAAGACACACAGAGACACAAAAAGACACAAAGAGACAGACAGAGACAGAGAUAUAGAUACAGACAGACACAAAAGACACAGAGAGACAGAGACAGAGAUAUAGAUACAGAUAGAGACAGACAGAGACAGAGAUAUAGAUACAGACAGACACAGAGAGACACAGAAAGACACACAGAGACACAAAAAGACACAAAGAGACACACAGAGACAGAGAUACAGAUACAGACAGACACAAAAAGACACAGAGAGACAGAGACAGAGAUAUAGAUACAGAUAGAGACAGACAGAGACACAAAAGACACAAAGACAGAGAUACACAUACAUACAGAGAAAGACAGAAACACAAAAAGACACACAGAGACACAAAAAGACACAAAGACACAUACAGAGACACAAAAAGACACACAGAGACACACAGAGAUAGAGAUACAGAUACAGACAGACACAGAGAGACACAGAAAGACACACAGAGACAGAAAAAGACACAAAGAGACAGACAGAGACAGAGAUAUAGAUACAGACAGACACAGAGAGACACAGAAAGACACACAGAGACACAAAAAGACACAAAGAGACAGACAGAGACAGAGACAGAGAUACAAAAAGACAAACAGAGACAGAGAUACAAAAAGACAAACAGAGACAGAGAUACAGAUACAGACAGAGACAGAGAUACAAAAAGACAGACAGAGACACCAAAAAACAAAGACAGAGAUGCAGAUACAGACAGAGACAAAAGACACACAGAGACGCAAAAAGACACACAGAGACACAAAAAGACACAAAGAGACAGACAGAUACAGGGAUACAGAUACAGACAGACAGACACACAGAGACACAAAGAGAUAGACAGAGACAGAGAUACACAUACAGGCAGAGAAAGACAGAAACAGAAAAAGACACACCGAGACACAAAAAGAUACACAGAGACACAAAAAGACAAACAGAGACAGAGAUAACACAGACAGAAACAGACAGAGACACAAAAAGACUCAAAGAGACAAAUAGAGACACAAAAAGACACACAGAGACAUGCAGAGACAGAGAAACAGAUACAGACAGACACAGAAAGCCACAGAGAGACACAAAAAGACAUACAGAGACAUGCAGAGACAGAGAAACAGAUACAGACACAGAAAGAGACACAGAGAGACACAAAAAGACACGCAGAGACACAAAAAGACACAAAGACAGAGAGACAGAGAGACACAAAAAUACACAUAGUGACACAAAAAGACACACAGAGACAUGCAAAGACAGAGAAACAGAUACAGACAGACACAGAGAGACACACAGAGACACAAAAAGACAUACAGAGACAUGCAGAGACAGAGAAACAGAUACAGACACAGAAAGAGACACAGAGAGACACAAAAAGACACGCAGAGACACAAAAAGACACAAAGAGAUAGAUAGAGACACAAAAAUACACAUAGUGACACAAAAAGACACACAGAGACAUACAGAGACAGAGAAACAGAUACAGACAGACACAGAAAGACACAGAGAGACACAAAGAGACAGAAACACAAAAAGACACACGGAGACACAAAAAGACAUAAAGAGACA
This is a long non-coding RNA of Antechinus flavipes (yellow-footed antechinus), 2535 nucleotides long. RefSeq lists it as uncharacterized. The record is from RefSeq and is a predicted model, not a curated record. The transcript has 2 exons. Lineage: Eukaryota; Metazoa; Chordata; Mammalia; Dasyuromorphia; Dasyuridae.